Molecule: long non-coding RNA, 1103 nt
Filed under: Cricetulus griseus (Chinese hamster)
Lineage: Eukaryota; Metazoa; Chordata; Mammalia; Rodentia; Cricetidae
Description: lncRNA (ENSCGRG00015034038.1)
Source: RNAcentral
UGAAAAGCUGGCUAUAGAGUUGGGUUAUGGCUCUCCUUUCUCUAUACUCAGGCAUGUUCAUUUAAGUUUCCUUUAUGUUCUGUGUCAGGUGAGCCACCUGGCUCUGUCAGGGGAAAGGGAGUAGAGUAAAACAGCCAAAAAGCUUGUUGAUUUCAUUUAACUUUUGCUAAGAUAUAUACCUUAUCUCAGAAUAGGCAAUGGACACAGAGGGUGUCCCCCUAGACUCUCAAAAUCUGUGGGUGGGAGGGGGGAGCACAAUCUAGCAGGAGCUGCAGGCCCAUCCUGGGCCAGAAUCAGCAAAGAACACAACACAGCUGAGCAGAGGCAGGGAAUUUUAACACUGGCCCAGGCAACUCCAGACAAGUGCCCUCCCCAUGUUAUUGGCACAAGGUGGUUGGAUACUAUAAUGAUCACUUUGUAAUGAGGAAGCAUGACCCAGCCCAGCCUUACAGAGACCUGAGUCAGAUGAAGAGACCCCCAUACAGGCCUGGGGCUGCUCAUCCUGGUAUAUGGGCCACCCAGUACCUUGCAGCACCAGCCAGAAGGCCACUAUUAGAGAGAGCAGAGAACCUUCAUCUAGUAAUUGAUGGAAGCAGAUGCAGAGAUCCACAGCUAAGCACUGGAUUGAACUUCUGGAGUCCAGUCAUAGAGAGGGAAGAACAACAAUAUGAGCAAAGGAAUCAAGACCAUGCUGGGGAAAUCCAAAGAAAGCUGACCUGAGCAAGUGGGAGUUCACUGACUCCAGACUGACAGCUGAGAACCUGUAUAAGACUGAACUAGGCCUUCUGAAUGUAGGUGACAUUUGGGUGGCUUGGGCAGUUGUGUGGGGCCACUGGCAGUGGAACCAGUAUUUAUCCUUAGUGCAGGAACUGGCUUUUUGGAGCCUAUUCCCUGUGGAGGGAUACCUUGCUCAGCCUUGAUACAAUAGGAAGGGACUUGGUCCUCCCAUAACUGAUGUGACAAACUUGGUUGAUUUCCCAUGGGAGGCCCUGGGAGUAUAUGGGGACAUGGAGUGAGGAGGUGUGAUGGGGAGGGAGCAUGGGAAGGAGAAGAAGCUGGGAUUGGUAUGUAAAAUAAGAUUGUUUUAAGACUAAAAAAUAAAG